Long non-coding RNA from Myotis davidii, 1160 nucleotides. RefSeq lists it as uncharacterized. NCBI's taxonomy places the organism in Eukaryota, Metazoa, Chordata, Mammalia, Chiroptera, Vespertilionidae. The transcript has 3 exons. The record is from RefSeq and is a predicted model, not a curated record.
CCCGCUGACAUGUUAAACUGGCAGGCCACUUAUUUGUGUUCUGUCUGGACAGAAUGUGCCUUCACGAGAGCCUGUGGAUAACCGUGACCACAUGAAGCUGUCAGACGAGCUGAUCUGGACAACCUCGGGGCAGAAUGUUGUGAAAUUUAUUUUUAAUGGGAGCCAAUGAAAGGGGGUCCAGCCAGACCUCAGCACCUGAAGCCCACAGUCGACGAAUGGAGCUGCCCAUGCACAGCUCUAGGAACCCAGUCCCACGAGGGCCGUGUUUUCUGCCUGCUGUGUUCACUGUUGCAUUCCCAGCACCGAGAAGUGUCCAGUGUGCGGCAAGUGCUCCACAAAGAUAAACACGCCCUGGAAACUCAUCUGCUGAUCAUUAGAGGGAAAAGAGGCGCUCGGGACUCUCAGCUCCACUGUGCAGAUGGCCAGAAAGGUGUCAGUGGAAAUGAAAAAGCAUUUCUGGGUAGGAGGGCAGAUGCAUUGCUCUGGGCGGAUCCGGGUGGCUUGCUGGUGCUCCCAGGCAGCCUGGCCUGAAACAGCGAGGCCCCUCGCCUCCCUGCCCCAUCUCUCCAGGAAGCCCAGGGUCCCACACCUCAGAGCGGUACCAGCGUUGGCCUCUGGACAGAUGACAAAGGCUGUCCAGGUCUCUCCUGAUGGCUCUUGCCGGGCAGUGAGGACUCGCCCAGGCCCCAGCCGAGCCCAGGCCUCUGGCUACAUCCUCUCCUCUUGGCCCCGGAGAGCAAGGGGCAGCCGAGGGGAAGCAGAAAUGAGCUUUUGGUUUUUCUGCAACUGCUUUGAUUUUUUUGUUGUUGUUUUUCAAGAAGAAAACACUCAGCCCGAUCCCGGGGGGAAGGGGGCGGACAGAAGUGAAGGCUAUUUCGGAGCCGGCUGCCUCCCCCAAAGGAAGGGUGUGAAUAGUGGGAAGAGAGUCCAGCCCUCACUUCCUGGAAUCGAGUGUGUGGGCAGCCUUUGCCUUUUGCAGCUAUUCUUCAGUCACAUUAUCUCAGUUUUCAGCCUCACAAUAACCCCGCUAAGUGAGCGAAAAGGGGCAUUGUCCCCACUUUACUAGUGAGGAAACUGAGGCUCUGAGAUGUCAGCUAACUUAUGAGAAAGGGAUGGAGUUCAGCCCCUAACGCAGGUCCGAGUCUCCCACCUUCUCCACC